GGAAGCGUCGCAUAGUGGCCUAGUGCAACAGGUUGCUAACCUGUACCAGCGAAAGUUGGUUCGUGGGUUCGAAUCCCACCGCUUCCG
RNAcentral lists this transfer RNA (87 nucleotides) under Candidatus Woesebacteria bacterium. RNAcentral's name for it is "tRNA-Ser". It matches the Rfam family "tRNA". From Rfam's summary of the family: Transfer RNA (tRNA) molecules are approximately 80 nucleotides in length. Their secondary structure includes four short double-helical elements and three loops (D, anti-codon, and T loops). Further hydrogen bonds mediate the characteristic L-shaped molecular structure. tRNAs have two regions of fundamental functional importance: the anti-codon, which is responsible for specific mRNA codon recognition, and the 3' end, to which the tRNAs corresponding amino acid is attached (by aminoacyl-tRNA synthetases). tRNAs cope with the degeneracy of the genetic code in two manners: having more than one tRNA (with a specific anti-codon) for a particular amino acid; and 'wobble' base-pairing, i.e. permitting non-standard base-pairing at the 3rd anti-codon position. The record is from RNAcentral. Lineage: Bacteria; Candidatus Woeseibacteriota.